AUUCCUCUUAGGCAGGAGAAAGCAAUUUUGCAGUAAAGAGUAGCUGACAGGGCAGCAGUGUUACUGAAAAAAAUCAGAAAUAGAAAGCCACAAACCGAGGAGCAGCUAUACAACGAGCUGUUGCCAAGAAAGUAGCAGCUACUAGUUCUGCAGGAAGUUGGGGAAAGAGGACCAAGAGACAAACAAGGUAAUUGUUCUGCUGGCUUGGGGAUGAUGCAGCCUGGCUUAAAGAGCAACACUCUCAGCUCUACAGAAGACCAAUGGCAAUGAUUAAUGAUUUAGAAAACAUAACUUAGGAGAUAAGACUGAAAGGUUCAGUUUUGAUUUUUUUUCUCCAAAGCAGAAGAGAGCAGGAACAGAACUCAGGACAGCGUGAGCAGAGUGCAAACCAGAUGCUGAACCACUGUGGUCCCUGAUUAGGGGGGGACAGAGGGGAAGGCAACUCAAUUUGCAGCAAAAUCAAUUCAGGGGAAAUUUUGAGUAUUUGAAGUUCCAACUCAGAACUAAGCUUAUUGAAUAAUUUCCAGUGAAUGGAAAUGCCCAACUUGUGAAUAGUUCUACCCAGUAAGUGCUGAAACACCAUGGCUUACAAUUUGACUUGUUCCUUUAUGACCCCUUUAAAGCUGUUCAACUGUGUCAUGGCAUUCCUUAAUUGAAAUAAAUUAAAACUAACAAAAAAA
Pseudopipra pipra is the source of this 680-nucleotide long non-coding RNA. RefSeq lists it as uncharacterized. NCBI's taxonomy places the organism in Eukaryota, Metazoa, Chordata, Aves, Passeriformes, Pipridae. The transcript has 2 exons. The record is from RefSeq and is a predicted model, not a curated record.